This 864-nucleotide ribosomal RNA is filed under the name uncultured bacterium. Its description in RNAcentral is "bacterial SSU rRNA". It matches the Rfam family "Bacterial small subunit ribosomal RNA", at positions 58 to 916 of the family's 1533-position model. The record is from RNAcentral.
CAAGUCGAACGAUGAACCUUAGCUUGCUAGGGGGAUUAGUGGCGAACGGGUGAGUAAUAUAUCGGAACGUACCUUGUAAUGGGGGAUAACUAGUCGAAAGAUUAGCUAAUACCGCAUACGCCCUGAGGGGGAAAGUAGGGGAUCUUCGGACCUUACGUUAUAAGAGCGGCCGAUAUCUGAUUAGCUAGUUGGUGGGGUAAUGGCCUACCAAGGCGACGAUCAGUAGCUGGUCUGAGAGGACGACCAGCCACACUGGAACUGAGACACGGUCCAGACUCCUACGGGAGGCAGCAGUGGGGAAUUUUGGACAAUGGGCGAAAGCCUGAUCCAGCCAUUCCGCGUGAGUGAAGAAGGCCUUCGGGUUGUAAAGCUCUUUCGCAAGGGAAGAAAACUUACAUUCUAAUAAAGUGUGAGGCUGACGGUACCUUGAUAAGAAGCACCGGCUAACUACGUGCCAGCAGCCGCGGUAAUACGUAGGGUGCGAGCGUUAAUCGGAAUUACUGGGCGUAAAGCGUGCGCAGGCGGUUUUGUAAGUCAGAUGUGAAAUCCCCGAGCUCAACUUGGGAACUGCGUUUGAAACUACAAGACUAGAAUAUGUCAGAGGGGGGUAGAAUUCCACGUGUAGCAGUGAAAUGCGUAGAGAUGUGGAGGAAUACCAAUGGCGAAGGCAGCCCCCUGGGAUAAUAUUGACGCUCAUGCACGAAAGCGUGGGGAGCAAACAGGAUUAGAUACCCUGGUAGUCCACGCCCUAAACGAUGUCUACUAGUUGUUGGUGGAGUAAAAUCCAUGAGUAACGCAGCUAACGCGUGAAGUAGACCGCCUGGGGAGUACGGUCGCAAGAUUAAAACUCAAAGGAAUUGACGG